GUGUCCACAUCAGCCACCUGAGAACCGCGAAAACAAGUAAUUCCAGCUCCCCCUGCAUGAGGGGAGGACGGGCGCUGAGCUGGUCCGAGCGGCGUCGCUCGGGUUAACCCGCCGCCGAGGCCACACCGCCCUCGUGCGGCCGGCCGCCGAACAAGAAGCGGCGGGAAGCAAGGUCGGCAUCGGUUUGAGCUGCGGCCUGCUCGGAACCAGAAGCGUGGAAAAGCCGGGGAUCUUAUUCUGAGGGGAAAAUGUCGGGCGGCUACCGAUGGGGAGGCCCAUCCGGCGGCGAGAACCGUAUCUACGUUGGGAACCUUCCGACCGACGUGCGGAUCCGAGACAUCGAGGAUAUCUUCUAUAAAUACGGAAAAAUCCGGGAUAUCGACCUGAAGAACAAGCGCGGCUCCCCGCCUUUCGCCUUUGUGGAGUUCGAGGACCCCAGAGAUGCACAAGACGCAGUCUAUGGAAGAAAUGGGUAUGAUUAUGGAGUCUAUCGCUUACGCGUGGAGUUCCAGAGAGGCCGAGGAAUUGGCGGAAUCGGCGGUGGAUCUAGAGGAAGACCAGGACCACCAGCCCGCAGAUCAGAUUUCAGGGUCAUUGUCUCCGGGCUACCACCCUCUGGCAGUUGGCAGGAUUUGAAGGAUCACAUGCGAGAAGCUGGUGAUGUUUGCUAUGCAGAUGUUUUGGGAGAAGGUGCUGGAGUGGUGGAAUUCCUCCGUAAAGAAGAUGUGGAUUAUGCAGUAAGGAAGCUUGACGAUACAAAGUUCCGUUCUCAUCAGGUUAGUUGGUUUGUAUUAAUUCCGGGUGUGCUUUUAAAAAAUUUACAAGAUAUGGGUAUUAGUGAUGCUGUUCACUGCCAGUCCUGUUGCUGAGUCCUAUUUUGAUCAGAUUUGAUCCAUGAUGUUCAUUGGUUUACAUAAUGUGGGUUAUGUGAAUUCACAAAUGACUGCCUCAGAAUUUGGGAUACAGAAUAACAUUUGCUCUCAUGGAAUUUAGCUGAGGUCACUCUCAAAAUUGUUUAGAGCCCAAGUGUGCACGAUGGCUACAAUUUAAAAGUGGUGACUCUCUCGGUCUAAUUUGAUUAGUAUUUAUUUUGGAUGAGACACUGUAACAAUACCUGUAACACUAAACUGGCUCAAGAACAGAGGUAAGAAUAGACCAUUCUUGCUGCACUAUUCACUAAGGUCUUGACUUAUUUUAAAAUUUGAUCUCAUGUUGCUGCACUAUCUCCCACCUCUGGAUUCUCACUAUAUUAAUAUUCCACGACCCACUUGGUCAGAGUAUUCCUAAGAUUUGUCGCUGUCUGAGUGCCAACCCCCGAGUUUGAGUCUGUGACCCCAGGUUCUAUGUUUCAUUCAUUAUUAUUACAUCAUUCAUUCCUGUACCCUGUCAAGUCUUGUGAGAAUUUUCUAUGUUUCAAUAAGAUGGCUUCUUGUUCUUCUCUAAUCCCUAUAAAGUAUUCUUUUUAAUCUCUUAUAGAGCAAAGGACCCAUCCAGGAAUCAAUCUGGCGAAUGACACUCAUUCUGUCUUGUAUAUUUUUGUACCGACAGAGAACAGAUCCUAUACAUAAUAUUCCAAGUAUGGUCUCACUCGGGUCCAAAUAAUUGGAGUGGUAUAACAAGACACUCUCUUGCAUUAAAGGCUGACAUUCCAAAUUGUUUGUGGUACCUAAAAUGUUACUUUCAGUGAUUCAUAUACAGUGCCUUGGAAAAAAUUCAGCCCCCACUAUUUUCACAUUCUACUGUCUCAAUUUCUAAAUUUAAAAUGUAUUAAAGUAGAAUUUUUUGAGCUAGUCUACAAAACAAAUUUCAAAACCUGUCAACAAUUUAGUAAAAAUUGAAAGUCUAAAUUUGAGGCUGAAAAAGUACUCUUCCACUUUGUAAUCACCAACUCACCCCAAUUCCUUGAUGUAGAAAAUUGGAGGAUCAGGUGUUUUCAAUGAAUAUGUAUAUCAGAUGAGACCAAAGUGGAACUUAUUGGCCUCAACACUAAGCAGUAUGUGGGGUGUAAAUCUAACACUGCACAAAAGCCAGGUAACACCAUCCCCAUUGUUAAGUAUGGUGGAGGUAGUAUCAUGCUAUGGGGAUGCUUUUCAGCAGCAGGGAGGUCAAAUGCUGUUAAAUACUGAGAGAUCCUGGAUAAAAACGUGCUAGCCUCAUGUCAGAAUACUUAAACUUUGGAGGAAGUUUGUCUUUCAGCAGGCCAAUGACCCAAAGCACAUUUCCAGAGCAACCAUGGAGUUGCUAUUGAGUGGCUCAUUCAGAGUCUUCUCCUUAACCUGAUCGAACAUCUCUGACAAGACCUCAAGAUUGCUGUCCAUCGCCACUCCUCAACUAACUGGCACAGCUUGAGCCAUUUUGCAAGGAGGAAUGGGAAAAUUUUGUUCCAUUACAUUGUGCAAAGCCAAUGGACCGAUCAAAAAGACUACUGGUUAUAAUAGCUGCGAGAGGGAGAAACUGCUUAUAUUCGAGUUCGCGCUGACAAACCCAGAAGUUCUAGUUAUGGGAGAUCAAGAUCAAGGUCCCUUUCUAGAGGUCGUUAUUCUCCCUAUCAAAGCAGAAGCUCCCCCCAAUAUAGAUGAGG
This is an RNA transcript of Hypanus sabinus (Atlantic stingray), 2581 nucleotides long. It is a transcript of the gene named serine/arginine-rich splicing factor 1B-like, with no coding region annotated. Lineage: Eukaryota; Metazoa; Chordata; Chondrichthyes; Myliobatiformes; Dasyatidae. The record is from RefSeq and is a predicted model, not a curated record. The transcript has 5 exons.